Long non-coding RNA from Oncorhynchus mykiss (rainbow trout), 532 nucleotides. RefSeq lists it as uncharacterized. NCBI's taxonomy places the organism in Eukaryota, Metazoa, Chordata, Actinopteri, Salmoniformes, Salmonidae. The record is from RefSeq and is a predicted model, not a curated record.
GCACACGUCAGCCCUAUGCUAAGUUCACCAGGUGGCUGUAAUUAUUUCCUUUAACAACUUCCUCAUCAGCCUAUCAAAGAUGUUAAACUUGUGGGCGACAAAAGUCAAGCGGCACAAUCUGCUUUUGAAGUUACUAAAAAGCUUCUUAUUUAAACUGGAUGUUUAGAUCACAGUGUAGUGAUCCUGGCACCUGGUACUUUUCACGGUGUGCUGCAAGUUGGAAUCCCAGGGCCAUCGUGAUAACCAACCAUCAGACCUAAUCUGCCUGUCGACAGACUGAACAUGCUGAUCCCAACCACACACAGGCCAUCUAAUACAUUAGUACCAUCUUUAUUGGUGUGAGAAGAUAAGAUGAGGUGAGGUCAACUCCAGGACGGUCUCUCACUGGCGUCAGGGGACUGAUGGCACCAUAGAUGGUCCUGACCUCAUAUCCUUGGAGGAUACCGUUGGUGCUGAGAUGUUGGAUGGGGUCCCACGACACCUGCAUCUCGAAUGCUGUCAGAGCCGUGGCAUUGAUCCUCAAGGGCGCCAC